Molecule: long non-coding RNA, 207 nt
Filed under: Linum usitatissimum (flax)
Lineage: Eukaryota; Viridiplantae; Streptophyta; Magnoliopsida; Malpighiales; Linaceae
Description: long non-coding RNA (LUSI_LNC000082)
Source: RNAcentral
UAUGUUUUUAUACAACUUGUUAUAUAUUUUGUUUUGUUUCCUAAUUCAUAUCACUAUUAGUGGUUCACGAACUAGAAUUGAAAUUUCAUUACGCAGACUCGUUAGUUUAUAGCUGAAUUCAAAUUCGAGCCAGGACAUUAUAGUCCAUGUUUGGUAUGAUAUUUAAGUCAGAGUCGGUAACAAUUUUUGACGAGUCAAAUUCAAGCU